RNAcentral lists this ribosomal RNA (2918 nucleotides) under Escherichia coli. RNAcentral's name for it is "23S ribosomal RNA". It matches the Rfam family "Bacterial large subunit ribosomal RNA". Lineage: Bacteria; Pseudomonadati; Pseudomonadota; Gammaproteobacteria; Enterobacterales; Enterobacteriaceae. The record is from RNAcentral.
GGGUUGUGAGGUUAAGCGACUAAGCGUACACGGUGGAUGCCCUGGCAGUCAGAGGCGAUGAAGGACGUGCUAAUCUGCGAUAAGCGUCGGUGAGGUGAUAUGAACCGUUAUAACCGGCGAUUUCCGAAUGGGGAAACCCAGUGUGUUUCGACACACUAUCAUUAACUGAAUCCAUAGGUUAAUGAGGCGAACCGGGGGAACUGAAACAUCUAAGUACCCCGAGGAAAAGAAAUCAACCGAGAUUCCCCAGUAGCGGCGAGCGAACGGGAGGAGCCCAGAGCCUGAAUCAGUGUGUGUGUUAGUGGAAGCGUCUGGAAAGGCGCGCGAUACAGGGUGACAGCCCCGUACACAAAAAUACACAUAUUGUGAGCUCGAUGAGUAGGGCGGGACACGUGGUAUCCUGUCUGAAUAUGGGGGGACCAUCCUCCAAGGCUAAAUACUCCUGACUGACCGAUAGUGAACCAGUACCGUGAGGGAAAGGCGAAAAGAACCCCGGCGAGGGGAGUGAAAAAGAACCUGAAACCGUGUACGUACAAGCAGUGGGAGCCUCUUUAUGGGGUGACUGCGUACCUUUUGUAUAAUGGGUCAGCGACUUAUAUUCUGUAGCAAGGUUAACCGAAUAGGGGAGCCGAAGGGAAACCGAGUCUUAACUGGGCGUUAAGUUGCAGGGUAUAGACCCGAAACCCGGUGAUCUAGCCAUGGGCAGGUUGAAGGUUGGGUAACACUAACUGGAGGACCGAACCGACUAAUGUUGAAAAAUUAGCGGAUGACUUGUGGCUGGGGGUGAAAGGCCAAUCAAACCGGGAGAUAGCUGGUUCUCCCCGAAAGCUAUUUAGGUAGCGCCUCGUGAAUUCAUCUCCGGGGUAGAGCACUGUUUCGGCAAGGGGGUCAUCCCGACUUACCAACCCGAUGCAAACUGCGAAUACCGGAGAAUGUUAUCACGGGAGACACACGGCGGGUGCUAACGUCCGUCGUGAAGAGGGAAACAACCCAGACCGCCAGCUAAGGUCCCAAAGUCAUGGUUAAGUGGGAAACGAUGUGGGAAGGCCCAGACAGCCAGGAUGUUGGCUUAGAAGCAGCCAUCAUUUAAAGAAAGCGUAAUAGCUCACUGGUCGAGUCGGCCUGCGCGGAAGAUGUAACGGGGCUAAACCAUGCACCGAAGCUGCGGCAGCGACACUAUGUGUUGUUGGGUAGGGAGCGUUCUGUAAGCCUGUGAAGGUGGCCUGUGAGGGUUGCUGGAGGUAUCAGAAGUGCGAAUGCUGACAUAAGUAACGAUAAAGCGGGUGAAAAGCCCGCUCGCCGGAAGACCAAGGGUUCCUGUCCAACGUUAAUCGGGGCAGGGUGAGUCGACCCCUAAGGCGAGGCCGAAAGGCGUAGUCGAUGGGAAACAGGUUAAUAUUCCUGUACUUGGUGUUACUGCGAAGGGGGACGGAGAAGGCUAUGUUGGCCGGGCGACGGUUGUCCCGGUUUAAGCGUGUAGGCUGGUUUUCCAGGCAAAUCCGGAAAACCAAGGCUGAGGCGUGAUGACGAGGCACUACGGUGCUGAAGCGACAAAUGCCCUGCUUCCAGGAAAAGCCUCUAAGCAUCAGGUAACAUCAAAUCGUACCCCAAACCGACACAGGUGGUCAGGUAGAGAAUACCAAGGCGCUUGAGAGAACUCGGGUGAAGGAACUAGGCAAAAUGGUGCCGUAACUUCGGGAGAAGGCACGCUGAUAUGUAGGUGAAGCGACUUGCUCGUGGAGCUGAAAUCAGUCGAAGAUACCAGCUGGCUGCAACUGUUUAUUAAAAACACAGCACUGUGCAAACACGAAAGUGGACGUAUACGGUGUGACGCCUGCCCGGUGCCGGAAGGUUAAUUGAUGGGUUAGCGGUAACGCGAAGCUCUUGAUCGAAGCCCCGGUAAACGGCGGCCGUAACUAUAACGGUCCUAAGGUAGCGAAAUUCCUUGUCGGGUAAGUUCCGACCUGCACGAAUGGCGUAAUGAUGGCCAGGCUGUCUCCACCCGAGACUCAGUGAAAUUGAACUCGCUGUGAAGAUGCAGUGUACCCGCGGCAAGACGGAAAGACCCCGUGAACCUUUACUAUAGCUUGACACUGAACAUUGAGCCUUGAUGUGUAGGAUAGGUGGGAGGCUUUGAAGUGUGGACGCCAGUCUGCAUGGAGCCGACCUUGAAAUACCACCCUUUAAUGUUUGAUGUUCUAACGUUGGCCCGUAAUCCGGGUUGCGGACAGUGUCUGGUGGGUAGUUUGACUGGGGCGGUCUCCUCCUAAAGAGUAACGGAGGAGCACGAAGGUUGGCUAAUCCUGGUCGGACAUCAGGAGGUUAGUGCAAUGGCAUAAGCCAGCUUGACUGCGAGCGUGACGGCGCGAGCAGGUGCGAAAGCAGGUCAUAGUGAUCCGGUGGUUCUGAAUGGAAGGGCCAUCGCUCAACGGAUAAAAGGUACUCCGGGGAUAACAGGCUGAUACCGCCCAAGAGUUCAUAUCGACGGCGGUGUUUGGCACCUCGAUGUCGGCUCAUCACAUCCUGGGGCUGAAGUAGGUCCCAAGGGUAUGGCUGUUCGCCAUUUAAAGUGGUACGCGAGCUGGGUUUAGAACGUCGUGAGACAGUUCGGUCCCUAUCUGCCGUGGGCGCUGGAGAACUGAGGGGGCUGCUCCUAGUACGAGAGGACCGGAGUGGACGCAUCACUGGUGUUCGGGUUGUCAUGCCAAUGGCACUGCCCGGUAGCUAAAUGCGGAAGAGAUAAGUGCUGAAAGCAUCUAAGCACGAAACUUGCCCCGAGAUGAGUUCUCCCUGACUCCUUGAGAGUCCUGAAGGAACGUUGAAGACGACGACGUUGAUAGGCCGGGUGUGUAAGCGCAGCGAUGCGUUGAGCUAACCGGUACUAAUGAACCGUGAGGCUUAACCUUACAACGCCGAAG